Molecule: non-coding RNA, 142 nt
Organism: Myroides profundi
Lineage: Bacteria; Pseudomonadati; Bacteroidota; Flavobacteriia; Flavobacteriales; Flavobacteriaceae
Source: Rfam
UCAAUAAGUAGAAAAACGAAAUGAAUUUAAUUCUAACAAAUACUUGGUGGUGGACUAAACUUACGUCGAAUGUCGUGAGCAGUCCUUGCUAUGUAUAUAUGAAUUAAGAGAAAUAAUAUAUAAUACCUAGAAGAGGCUUGUC